GAUGAACGCUGGCGGCGUGCCUAAUACAUGCAAGUCGAGCGAACAGACGAGGAGCUUGCUCCUCUGACGUUAGCGGCGGACGGGUGAGUAACACGUGGAUAACCUACCUAUAAGACUUGGAUAACUUCGGGAAACCGGAGCUAAUACCGGAUAAUAUAUUGAACCGCAUGGUUCAAUAGUGAAAGACGGUUUUGCUGUCACUUAUAGAUGGAUCCGCGCCGCAUUAGCUAGUUGGUAAGGUAACGGCUUACCAAGGCAACGAUGCGUAGCCGACCUGAGAGGGUGAUCGGCAACACUGGAACUGAGACACGGUCCAGACUCCUACGGGAGGCAGCAGUAGGGAAUAUUACGCAAUGGGCGAAAGCCUGACGGAGCAACGCCGCGUGAGUGAUGAAGGUCUUCGGAUCGUAAAACUCUGUUAUUAGGGAAGAAAAAAUGUGUAAGUAACUAUGCACGUCUUGACGGUACCUAAUCAGAAAGCCACGGCUAACUACGUG
RNAcentral lists this ribosomal RNA (497 nucleotides) under uncultured bacterium. RNAcentral's name for it is "partial 16S ribosomal RNA". It matches the Rfam family "Bacterial small subunit ribosomal RNA", at positions 28 to 507 of the family's 1533-position model. The record is from RNAcentral.